GAGUUCCCUGUCCGGACUCUCCUUCCUCCGUCGUGCUGCACGUUGAGGAAGAGGCACCUGCGUCGUCCUCUGCUGAACCCCCUGCUUCCCGCAGGGGAAAACCCAGGCCCUGCGAGACUGGCUGACCCGCCUGGGGACACGAGGUCACAGCGGCGGGAGGAGGUUGGGCUAAGCGGCCGAAAGCACCGAGCACCGAGCACCGAGC
Balaenoptera ricei (Rice's whale) is the source of this 205-nucleotide long non-coding RNA. RefSeq lists it as uncharacterized. The record is from RefSeq and is a predicted model, not a curated record. The transcript is spliced from 3 exons. NCBI's taxonomy places the organism in Eukaryota, Metazoa, Chordata, Mammalia, Artiodactyla, Balaenopteridae.